AGGUUCGAGGCGAUCAGAUACCGCCCUAGUUCUGACCGUAAACGAUGCCACCUGACGAUCCGCCAGGGUUACUACCAUGACUCGGCGGGCAGUCCCCGGGAAACCCAAGCCUUCGGGUUCCGGGGGAAGUAUGGUUGCAAAGCUGAAACUUAAAGGAAUUGACGGAAGGGCACCACCAGGAGUGGAGCCUGCGGCUUAAUUUGACUCAACACGGGGAACCUCACCCGGCCCGGACACCGCGAGGAUUGACAGAUUGAGAGCUCUUUCUCGAUUCGGUGGGUGGUGGUGCAUGGCCGUUCUUAGUUGGUGGAGCGAUUUGUCUGGUUAAUUCCGAUAACGAACGAGACUCUAGCCGGUUAAGUAGCCCGAGCGGUUUUUGAUCUUUGCCGUUCAUCCCCGUUCGACCUUUGCGUCGUCCCCUUUUUUUCGGGCCGUCUCCGUCGUUUUCCGUUUCUCUUGGUUUCCCGAUCGUCCGUCGUCCCGUCGAUUCGUUCGACGGGUGCCGACGGUUUUCGCGGUUUCCAGGGGGCGGGCGGCGGAACGGUGCGUUCGGGGGGGUAUACGCUCGGUCGUUUCGGGGUGAAAGCAUAACCGAAGGCCGCCGG
RNAcentral lists this ribosomal RNA (605 nucleotides) under Peripatopsis sedgwicki. RNAcentral describes it as "bacterial SSU rRNA". It matches the Rfam family "Eukaryotic small subunit ribosomal RNA", at positions 994 to 1380 of the family's 1831-position model. The record is from RNAcentral. Lineage: Eukaryota; Metazoa; Onychophora; Udeonychophora; Euonychophora; Peripatopsidae.